RNAcentral lists this ribosomal RNA (407 nucleotides) under uncultured bacterium. RNAcentral's name for it is "partial 16S ribosomal RNA". It matches the Rfam family "Bacterial small subunit ribosomal RNA", at positions 30 to 526 of the family's 1533-position model. The record is from RNAcentral.
AUUGAACGCUGGCGGCAGGCCUAACACAUGCAAGUCGAGCGCAGCGGCGGACGAGUGAUUAAUGCCUAGUAAUCUGCCUGUUAGUGGGGGAUAACUUCCGGAAACGGGCGCUAAUACCACAUGCUAUCAGAUCAGCCUAGGUGGUAUUAGCUAGUUGGUGGGGUAAAGGCCUACCAAGGCGAUGAUCCGUAACUGGUCUGAGAGGAUGAUCAGUCACACGGGAACUGAGACACGGUCCAGACUCCUACGGGAGACAGCAGUGGGGAAUCUUGGACAAUGGGCGAAAGCCUGAUCCAGCCAUGCCGCGUGUGUGAAGAAGGUUUUCGGAUUGUAAAGCACUUUAAGUUGGGAGGCGUUAUCAACAGAGUAAGCAACGGCUAACUUCGUGCCAGCAGCCGCGGUAAUAC